UGAGGAAUAUUGGACAAUGGGCGCAAGCCUGAUCCAGCAAUGCCGCGUGCAGGAUGAAGGCCUUCGGGUUGUAAACUGCUUUUGUACGGAGCGAAAAGGUCUGCCCUAAUACGGUGGGCUCAUGACGGUACCGUAAGAAUAAGCACCGGCUAACUACGUGCCAGCAGCCGCGGUAAUACGUAGGGUGCGAGCGUUAAUCGGAAUGACUGGGCGUAAAGCGUGCGCAGGGGGGGAUAUAAGACAGAUGUGAAAUCCCCGGGCUCAACCUGGGACCUGCAUUUGUGACUGUAUAGCUAGAGUACGGUAGAGGGGGAUGGAAUUCCGCGUGUAGCAGUGAAAUGCGUAGAUAUGCGGAGGAACACCGAUGGCGAAGGCAAUCCCCUGGACCUGUACUGACGCUCAUGCACGAAAGCGUGGGGAGCAAACA
Molecule: ribosomal RNA, 427 nt
Filed under: uncultured bacterium
Lineage: Bacteria
Description: bacterial SSU rRNA
Rfam family: Bacterial small subunit ribosomal RNA
Source: RNAcentral